Molecule: long non-coding RNA, 603 nt
Organism: Solea senegalensis (Senegalese sole)
Lineage: Eukaryota; Metazoa; Chordata; Actinopteri; Pleuronectiformes; Soleidae
Exons: 3
Source: RefSeq, a predicted model, not a curated record
GAGCAGCAGCAGUGGCAGCAGCAGCGGCGGCGGCAGCAGCAGCAGUGCUGGGGCUCCAGGAACAGUAAAGUGAACCUGACUCCUCCACUGAUUUGGUGCAAUCUUUGCAAGACACUCAGAGAGAGAGAGAGAGAGAAAAUCUGAGCUAUGACUAUGACUCCGCCUCCUGUCCUUUCACUGUGUGCGUGCCUCCUCCCUGCUUUUGAGCAACUCCCAACAAACAGUUCCAUCAAUUCUAUGAGAAAGACGCAGAUCACAACAUGACCAGGAACGCUCUGUGAGGUUGGUGGUGCACGUGACCUGUGCAAGCAGGUUAAGUGUAAAGAUGACGUGGAAUAGCCCUGGCUCAAGAGGAUCAGGAAUCCUCUAAGGCAGAGGGUUAGCCGACAGUGACCCUUCACCAACGCUCACUCACUCAUCAUACAUGUGCGCUAUGACGUCACAGCUGUGGGAGUUCACGGUGCUGACUCUUUGUUUCUUAGUCUUUAGAUUUCACAACACUGUGAUUUGUUUUAUGUCAAGAAAAACGUGUCACAACAGAAUUCUGCUGUUUUUUGUGCUGCUGGUGUAUACACACAAACGCUUACCUCAGUCAGCACAGAA